RNAcentral lists this long non-coding RNA (529 nucleotides) under Apteryx owenii (little spotted kiwi). RNAcentral's name for it is "lncRNA (ENSAOWG00000010306.1)". Lineage: Eukaryota; Metazoa; Chordata; Aves; Apterygiformes; Apterygidae. The record is from RNAcentral.
CACACAUUCACACACACAUACACACACACUGGAUCUUCAUCUGUGGUAUAUUCAGUUGCCAUUGGAAACCUAAGAAAGAAGUGAAUCUACCCUCCAAGUCUUAAGCUGGUGGUUUUUUUUUUCCCUCCCCUUUUCUCCUCUCCUCACAGAAGGCGAAGUCUUUCACAAUGAAUCCAUGGCAGCUUCGAUCGAGCGGUGAGCUGGAGCACCUACAUACAGGCCACUCCUUGAUGUGACUGAAAAGAGGCCUUUUCCAGCACUCUGAAAGGAGAGUGGGGCUGUGGAUUUACCUCCCACACACCUGGGCACCCAGAGUACAUGCACUGCGAGAUUCCAGUGACAGAUGGAUCUCUCUUGUGCACACGUGCUCUUUCCCUCUCUGUAUUUUUGUUUUCGACAUGUUUGAUCUGAAGUUCUGAAGCUUCUCAGAGGGAACCCGGGAGAGAAGGAAGAGGAGGAGGAGGAGGAGGAGGAGGAGGAACCGAGGGAGUGUGAGCGACAGAAGAGGCAGCCCUGCCUUGUUCUUCCA